UACGUAGGGGGCUAGCGUUGUCCGGAUUUAUUGGGCGUAAAGAGCGUGUAGGCGGCCAGGUAGGUCUGCUGUGAAAACUCGAGGCUCAACCUCGAGACGUCGGCGGAAACCAUCUGGCUAGAGUCCGGAAGAGGAGAGUGGAAUUCCUGGUGUAGCGGUGAAAUGCGCAGAUAUCAGGAAGAACACCCGUGGCGAAAGCGCUCUGCUAGGCCGCAACUGACACUCAUGGACGAAAGCUAGGGGAGCGAAUGGG
This 253-nucleotide ribosomal RNA is filed under the name uncultured bacterium. Its description in RNAcentral is "partial 16S ribosomal RNA". It matches the Rfam family "Bacterial small subunit ribosomal RNA", at positions 524 to 776 of the family's 1533-position model. The record is from RNAcentral.